Molecule: ribosomal RNA, 595 nt
Filed under: Megasporoporia inflata
Lineage: Eukaryota; Fungi; Basidiomycota; Agaricomycetes; Polyporales; Polyporaceae
Description: partial small subunit ribosomal RNA
Rfam family: Bacterial small subunit ribosomal RNA
Source: RNAcentral
GUGCCGCAGAUGACUAGCUACUGAAUCAUAGAAUUUCUUAAAAUUCAUGAUGUCGUAAGGGAAAAUAAUGAUAGCACCUUACUAUGAGUGUCGUCCAAAUCUAGUGCCAGAAGACUCGGUAAGACCAGAGACGCAAACGUUAAUCAUCAUAAACAGGCGUAAAGGGUUUGUAGGCAGCUCCCAUAUCCUUUUUACUUUUCUCUGUCAUCCGUGAUAGAUUAAGUGGUAAGAAAAUAGAAGAUAUACAAAAUAAAGUGUUCUAAUUGGGAGCUAGAAUCAAAAAGAGGUUAUAGUGUAUAACGCCUAGAGGAGGGCUGAUAUCCAUAGAUCCUAGGCAGAAUACUCAGGGCGAAGGCCACUCUCCACUAAUGAUUGACGCUGAGAAACGAAGGUUAGGGUAGGAAAUAGGAUUAGAUACCCCGGUACUCCUUUCUGUAAACGAUGAAUGGUAGUCAUUAGUCUACGGACUAGAGACGAAGUUAACACAAUAACCAUUCCGCCUUGUGAGUACUACUGCAAAGUAGAAAACAAAAAAAUUAGUCGGUCUCGAAGCAAACGGAGUGAAGCAUGUUAUUUAUUGAAAAAAAUCCCGAAA